CAUCUGAAAGAGAUUAAAGAUUUAUCGGUGAUGGAUGGGGAUGCGUCUGAUUAGCUUGUUGGCGGGGUAACGGCCCACCAAGGCGACGAUCAGUAGGGGUUCUGAGAGGAAGGUCCCCCACAUUGGAACUGAGACACGGUCCAAACUCCUACGGGAGGCAGCAGUGAGGAAUAUUGGUCAAUGGACGAGAGUCUGAACCAGCCAAGUAGCGUGCAGGAUGACGGCCCUAUGGGUUGUAAACUGCUUUUAUAAGGGAAUAAAGUGAGUCUCGUGAGACUUUUUGCAUGUACCUUAUGAAUAAGGACCGGCUAAUUCCGUGCCAGCAGCCGCGGUAAUACGGAAGGUCCGGGCGUUAUCCGGAUUUAUUGGGUUUAAAGGGAGCGUAGGCCGGAGAUUAAGCGUGUUGUGAAAUGUAGACGCUCAACGUCUGCACUGCAGCGCGAACUGGUUUCCUUGAGUACGCACAAAGUGGGCGGAAUUCGUGGUGUAGCGGUGAAAUGCUUAGAUAUCACGAAGAACUCCGAUUGCGAAGGCAGCUCACUGGAGCGCAACUGACGCUGAAGCUCGAAAGUGCGGGUAUCGAACAGGAUUAGAUACCCUGGUAGUCCGCACGGUAAACGAUGGAUGCCCGCUGUUGGUCUGAAUAGGUCAGCGGCCAAGCGAAAGCAUUAAGCAUCCCACCUGGGGAGUACGCCGGCAACGGUGAAACUCAAAGGAAUUGACGGGGGCCCGCACAAGCGGAGGAACAUGUGGUUUAAUUCGAUGAUACGCGAGGAACCUUACCCGGGCUUGAAUUGCAGAGGAAGGAUUUGGAGACAAUGACGCCCUUCGGGGCCUCUGUGAAGGUGCUGCAUGGUUGUCGUCAGCUCGUGCCGUGAGGUGUCGGCUUAAGUGCCAUAACGAGCGCAACCCCUCUCCUUAGUUGCCAUCAGGUUAAGCUGGGCACUCUGGGGACACUGCCACCGUAAGGUGUGAGGAAGGUGGGGAUGACGUCAAAUCAGCACGGCCCUUACGUCCGGGGCUACACACGUGUUACAAUGGCAGGUACAGAGAGACGGUNNNNNNNNNNUCCGGGGCUACACACGUGUUACAAUGGCAGGUACAGAGAGACGGUCCCUUGCAAAAUGGAUCAAAUCCUUAAAGCCUGUCUCAGUUCGGACUGGGGUCUGCAACCCGACCCCACGAAGCUGGAUUCGCUAGUAAUCGCGCAUCAGCCAUGGCGCGGUGAAUACGUUCCCGGGCCUUGUACACACCGCCCGUCAAGCCAUGAAAGCCGGGGGCGCCUAAAGUCCGUGACCGUAAGGAGCGGCCUAGGGCGAAACUGGUAAUUGGGGCUAAGUCGUAACAAGGUAGCCGUACCGGAAGGUGCGGCUGGAACACCUCCUUUCU
This 1389-nucleotide ribosomal RNA is filed under the name Segatella copri. Its description in RNAcentral is "bacterial SSU rRNA". It matches the Rfam family "Bacterial small subunit ribosomal RNA", at positions 188 to 1533 of the family's 1533-position model. The record is from RNAcentral. Lineage: Bacteria; Pseudomonadati; Bacteroidota; Bacteroidia; Bacteroidales; Prevotellaceae.